AGAGAAUUUGAUUAAUGUGCUUCUAAAGGAUUGUGGACUAUGUUGCAUGGGUUGGGGUAUGAGUGUCAAGUGCAGGUGUUUGUCUAAUUGUUCAAUCCUUCAUAACUCAAAUUUUAGGUUGUGAAGACUUGGCUAAAAAUGAUCCUAAAAAGGGGCAUGGACACCUUUUCCCUCUAAAAAAAAAUCAAUUAAAAUAAAUUGACAUGAAAAUAAAUUGACAAUGAAAAUAAAUUGACAAUGAAAAUAUCCUAUUUAAAAGCUCCCACCUUAAGGUACCCUAGGUACUACCUUAGCUAAACAUGAACUCAACCUCUCCCAAGCCUUGGGUCUUCCUUUGUGACCCUUAGAGCAUCCCAUUAUGUGGUUCUCUUGAGUGCUCAGGUGGUCCACCAAUGGUUUUUUGGGACUGUACCUUAGGUACACCUUAAUGACCUUUAAGUAUUACCUUAAGAGACCCUAGGUACUACCUUAACUAAACUUGAACUCAACCUCUCCCAAGCCUCGGGCUUUCCUUUGUGAGCCUUAGAGCAUCUCAUUAUGUGGUUCUCUUGAGUGCUCAAGUGGUCCACCAAAGGUUUUUUGCAAUUGUACCUUAGGUACUACCUUAAGAGCCCUUAGGUACUACCUUAAUGGCCUUUAGGUACUACCUUAAGGGACCCUAGGUACUACCUUAGCUAAACAUGAACUCAACCUCUCCCAAGCCUCGGGUCUUCCUUUGUGACCCUUAGAGCAUCCCAUUAUGCGGUUCUCUUGAGUGCUCAAGAGGUUCAUCAAAGGUUUUUUGGGACUGUACCUUAAGUACUACCUUAAGGGCCCUUAGGUACUACCUUAAUGACCUUUAGGUACUAGCUUAAGGGACCCUAGGUACUACCUUAAGGUAAACAUGAACUCAACCUCUCCCAAGCCUCGGGCCUUCUUUUGUGACCCUUAAAGCAUCCCAUUAUGUGGUUCUCUUGAGUGCUCAAGUGGUCUACCAAUGGUUUUUUGGGACUGUACCUUAGGUACUACCUUAAGGGCCCUUAGGUACUACCUUAAUGGCCCUUAGGUACUACCUUAAGGGACCCUAGUUAUUACCUUAGCUAAACAUGAACUCAACCUCUCCCA
Molecule: long non-coding RNA, 1104 nt
Filed under: Vitis vinifera (wine grape)
Lineage: Eukaryota; Viridiplantae; Streptophyta; Magnoliopsida; Vitales; Vitaceae
Description: long non-coding RNA (VVIN_LNC008002)
Source: RNAcentral